AGAGUUUGAUCCUGUCUCAGGAUGAACGCUGGCGGCGUGCUUAAUACAUGCAAGUCGAACGGAUGUUGUGGCAAUACGAUGUUAGUGGCGAACGGGUGAGUAACGCGUUGGUGACCUGCCCCGAAGUGAGGGAUAACAGCUCGAAAGGGCUGCUAAUACCGCAUGAGAUCCACCUAGUUAGAGAGGGUGGAUGAAAGGAGAAAUCCGCUUUGGGAGGGGCCUGCGUCCCAUCAGCUAGUUGGUGAGGUAAAAGCUCACCAAGGCGACGACGGGUAGGGGGCCUGAGAGGGUGACCCCCCACACUGGCACUGAAACACGGGCCAGACACCUACGGGUGGCAGCAGUAGGGAAUAUUGCACAAUGGGCGAAAGCCUGAUGCAGCAACGCCGCGUGCGCGAUGAAGGCCUUCGGGUUGUAAAGCGCUUUUCGGGGAGACGAGGAAGGACGGUAUCUCCGGAAUAAGGAUCGGCUAACUACGUGCCAGCAGCCGCGGUAAAACGUAGGAUCCGAGCGUUAUCCGAAUUCACUGGGCGUAAAGCGCGUGUAGGCGGCACGGUAAGUUGGAUGUAAAAUCUCCCGGCUCAACUGGGAGAGGACGUUCAAUACUGUCGAGCUCGAGGGCGAUAGAGGGAGGUGGAAUUCCCGGUGUAGUGGUGUAAUGCGUAGAUAUCGGGAGGAACACCAGUGGCGAAAGCGGCCUCCUGGAUCGUACCUGACGCUCAGACGCGAAAGCUAGGGGAGCAAACGGGAUUAGAAACCCCGGUAGUCCUAGCUGUAAACGAUGUAGACUUGGUGUUGGUGGUGUAAAAACCAUCGGUGCCGAAGCAAACGCGAUAAGUCUACCGCCUGGGGACUACGGCCGCAAGGUUAAAACUCAAAGGAAUUGACGGGGGCCCGCACAAGCAGCGGAGCGUGUGUUUUAAUUCGAUAUUACGCGAAAAACCUUACCCGGGUUUGACAUGCAGGUGGUAGGGAAACGAAAGUGGACCGACCCUUCGGGGAGCCUACACAGGUGUUGCAUGGCUGUCGUCAGCUCGUGUCGUGAGAUGUCCGGUUAAGUCCGGUAACGAGCGCAACCCGCGCCGUAUGUUACAAGUGUCAUACGGGACUGCUGGUAUAAAGCCGGAGGAAGGUGCGGACGACGUCAAGUCAGCAUGGCCUUUAUAUCCGGGGCUACACACACGCUACAAUGGCCAGUACAAUGGGUAGCAAAGCCGCAAGGUGAGCCAAUCCCCAAAGCUGGUCUCAGUUCAGAUUGCAGGCUGCAACUCGCCUGCAUGAAGUCGGAGUUGCUAGUAACCGCGCGUCAGCAUUAGUGCGGUGAAUACGUUCCCGGGCCUUGUACACACCGCCCGUCACGUCAUGGGAGCUGGCAACACCUGAAGCCGGUAUCCUAACCGCAAGGAGGGAGCCGUCGAAGGUGGGGCUGGUGACUGGGACGAA
This 1443-nucleotide ribosomal RNA is filed under the name metagenome. RNAcentral describes it as "bacterial SSU rRNA". It matches the Rfam family "Bacterial small subunit ribosomal RNA". The record is from RNAcentral.